This 253-nucleotide ribosomal RNA is filed under the name uncultured bacterium. Its description in RNAcentral is "partial 16S ribosomal RNA". It matches the Rfam family "Bacterial small subunit ribosomal RNA", at positions 524 to 776 of the family's 1533-position model. The record is from RNAcentral.
UACGGGGGGGGCAAGCGUUGUUCGGAAUUACUGGGCGUAAAGGGCUCGUAGGUGGCCAACUAAGUCAGACGUGAAAUCCCUCAGCUUAACUGGGGAACUGCGUCUGAUACUGGAUGGCUUGAGUUUGGGAGAGGGAUGCGGAAUUCCAGGUGUAGCGGUGAAAUGCGUAGAUAUCUGGAGGAAUACCGGUGGCGAAGGCGGCAUCCUGGACCGGCAUUGACGCUGAGGAGCGAAAGCUAGGGGAGCAAACGGG